AAGGAAUAUUGGACAAUGCCCGCAAGGGUGAUCCAGCCAUGCCGCGUGCAGGAAGACGGCCCUAUGGGUUGUAAACUGCUUUUGCACCAGAGAAAACCCCCUUACGUGUAAGGGGCUGAUAGUAUGGUGAGAAUAAGCAUCGGCUAACUUCGUGCCAGCAGCCGCGGUAAGACGAAGGAUGCAAGCGUUAUCCGGAUUCAUUGGGUUUAAAGGGAGCGUAGGCGGUUUAGUAAGUCAGUGGUGAAAGCCGGUCGCUUAACGAUCGAAUUGCCAUUGAUACUGCUGAACUUGAGUACAGAUGCUGUGGGCGGAAUAUGACAUGUAGUGGUGAAAUACUUAGAGAUGUCAUAGAACACCGAUUGCGAAGGCAGCUCACAAAACUGUAACUGACGCUGAGGCUCGAAAGUGUGGGGAUCAAAC
RNAcentral lists this ribosomal RNA (420 nucleotides) under uncultured bacterium. Its description in RNAcentral is "bacterial SSU rRNA". It matches the Rfam family "Bacterial small subunit ribosomal RNA", at positions 356 to 773 of the family's 1533-position model. The record is from RNAcentral.